UAAACCAAAUGGGAUAUCUUUAGUAAUUGCGAAUGAACAAGGAUAUGCUUAGCUUGACAAAUGGAGCUAUUGGCUUUGAAUUGUAUUGUGGAAAUGUAUUACCAACAGAGGUGCAGGUGCCAGCCUAUUGAAAUAAAGCGUCAAUGAGGGUGAGAAUCCUGUUUGUCAUGUGCAGCCCUUUGUGCACGGUGUAUAUUUGCUGAGUCACACUCCUUGGCAUUGGAAUGCAAAGUGGGUGGUAAGUUUCAUGUAAAGGUAAACAUGCAAUUGAGACUGAUAGCACACAAGUACCAUGAGGGAAAUAUGAAAAGGACUUUGAAAAGAAAAUUAAAUGAGUUUGUAUUUGCUGAACACAAAGUAAACAGACUUGAUUUGCUUGGUGGGAGUGUUGCACUUGCUUGACAAGAGCUUUGGGCUGUGGGUGUAAUGAUUCUUUCUUUGCAUGCCAGUUUCUAUUUGUACAUCUGAUUACCUUUGCACAUGAAUGAUAAGUCUCCUGUGGGGGGUGGAUUGCAUGUGCAUGUAAUGAUUUGUGUUUUGAUAAAUGUGUCUGGUGUAUGUGUGUGUGUUCCUGUGCUUGGGGAUGCUUCCUUCCUUGGACUUACAAGCCCUGACACACACAUGCUGGCAAAAUGCUUCUGCUUGACCCGUCUUGAAACACGGACCAAGGAGUCUAACAGAUGUGCAAAGUUUGAAGGUGGUAUACCUUUGUGUGCAAUGAAAGUGUCAGCUGGGAUAUGUGCACCAGCACCCAAUUAAUUAGCGGACAGAGGUUUGAGUUGGAGCAUAUCUAUUAGGACCCGAAAGAUGGUGAACUAUGCCUGAACAGAAUGAAUUCAGAGGAAACUCUGAUGGAGGUUCGUAUCGAUACUGACGUGCAAAUCGUUCGUCAUAUUUGGGUAUAGGGGCGAAAGACUAAUCGAACCAUCUAGUAGCUGGUUCCC
RNAcentral lists this ribosomal RNA (944 nucleotides) under Alexandrium catenella. RNAcentral describes it as "LSU rRNA". It matches the Rfam family "Eukaryotic large subunit ribosomal RNA", at positions 61 to 959 of the family's 3401-position model. The record is from RNAcentral. Lineage: Eukaryota; Dinophyceae; Gonyaulacales; Pyrocystaceae.